Toxorhynchites rutilus septentrionalis is the source of this 1501-nucleotide long non-coding RNA. RefSeq lists it as uncharacterized. The record is from RefSeq and is a predicted model, not a curated record. Lineage: Eukaryota; Metazoa; Arthropoda; Insecta; Diptera; Culicidae. The transcript has 3 exons.
AAAACGUGCUACUCUAUUACAUAAAAACAUAUAACAUAUAAGAAAAAGUUAAUUUUCAUUCAUAAUUUUUUAUUUUAUAUAUGUGUUUACUGCACCUGAAAGUCCAUUAUCACUAUCAUUUCCCAAAAGCGGAGCAUGAAGCUCAACGCGAAUUGACAGUUGUUUGUGAUGUCUGUUAGUGUUAGUACAAUUCAGGCAAUUUUUCCUCUCAUGCAUUAGUAUGUGUGGUAUUGACGUUUGUUUGUUUUGGAGUCAAUUCAGAAGUCGCAAGUGAUAUGGAUGCCGAAAUUUUUAUUUCGCUGCUAUGGAACAAGUUAAGUGAUGAACCUUUCUGAUCAAAGCGAAGCAAUGGUCACAGGCGCACGAGGGCAUCAUGGAGUAUAUUGCCAUGGAUUGUGUUAUUAACGACAACUUCCCUUAUUCGAAAUCAGUAUUGAUCGAGAUCAAGGAUGUGAAAUAAAUUUCCAACUGGUUCAUCAAGGGCAAAAUUUUGAGCGACUUCAUCGAGCUGAAUGUGAAGUUCGUCCUGACCCGGAACACGAUCGACGAUGAUGUGUCCGCAACUCGACUCGAGGAACUCCGACACAAAAGUAUCGGUUCAGAAAGAGCGAAAUCACCCAGUUGUUGGCAUUUCUGAUUCGUCAUUCAUCGCCCAGGAUCCGCUUAUUAACAGCUGUACGUUGAAGCGAAAUGCGUUCGAGAAGCUGUCCUUGCUCCAGGAGUACGUGCACCAGGAAUUGCGACAUAUGUAUGCUGAGCGCCUUUCUGGACGAAGAGAUAGUGAGAUAGUGUUUGAAGGAAAAUUACUAUGUAAUUUUAAUCGUAAGAAUAAUUACUGCAAUGGUGGAAUAAAAUAGACAGUCUAGAAUGGAUGAAUAAGCAUAUACUCUCUCGUAGGUAAAUUCUAAGGAUAAUCACAGGAACUGAACACAUAUCACAUAUAAUUAAGUACCCCCCCCCCUUGUUACGAAAUGAUAUAAUUAUUGGUUCAUCAAAUUUUACACUUUUUUCUAACCGUGUUUCUGAGACUGUUGAAAAAAUAUGUGGCAACAGAGCGUGUGAAAUAAAUCAUGCUAGUUGUGUAUGUUUGGAAAUAAAAGAACUUAGCGUGUGGAUAAGUACACCGCAACUGGACUAAAGUUAGUUUUUUUGAAAUACUGUUUAUUACAGCCAUGUUUUUUGUCCAGUAGGUUUUUCAUGUUUAUUUAACAUAAGAACACCGCUCUGAUGUGCAAGUAGUGUACGCGAGGCCUGGCGUACUACACCCCGGCCGAAUGUACUCUCCAAUGGACACAAAUUUGGGAAGGCUCGUGGUUGCCGCAGCAGUUGUGGUUUCAGGAUUUCCCAUAUGCAAUCAGCUGCAUGUAGCUGAAAUAUUUGCAAUGUUUACCUGUCAUUCCACUAUAUUAAUAAAUGCAUGUAUGUGUAUGUGAAUGAUGUACGGUUUUGUGUAGUGCGAUGACUCUUUCACAUUGUUAUCCGGUUAUCCGUCCAAACCCAG